AAUCCAUGCAUCGGGCAUUUUUGAAUUAAAUCUUUGAAUUGUUCCCAAGCUUCAUAUAGUGUUUCAUCCUCUAAUUGCCGAAAAGAUGUGAUGUCAUUUAUAUGCUU
RNAcentral lists this small nucleolar RNA (107 nucleotides) under Gossypium hirsutum (cotton). RNAcentral's name for it is "Plant small nucleolar RNA R71". It matches the Rfam family "Plant small nucleolar RNA R71". Rfam says of the family: R71 is a member of the C/D box family of snoRNAs containing the C (UGAUGA) and D (CUGA) box motifs. Multiple nearly identical copies of this snoRNA have been identified in Arabidopsis, and it is thought to function as a 2'-O-ribose methylation guide for 18S ribosomal RNA. Lineage: Eukaryota; Viridiplantae; Streptophyta; Magnoliopsida; Malvales; Malvaceae. The record is from Rfam by way of RNAcentral.